RNAcentral lists this ribosomal RNA (444 nucleotides) under Triticum aestivum (bread wheat). Its description in RNAcentral is "partial small subunit ribosomal RNA". The record is from RNAcentral. Lineage: Eukaryota; Viridiplantae; Streptophyta; Magnoliopsida; Poales; Poaceae.
AUGCCAGAGAUGGUCGGGGCUUGUGUGCGUGGGUGUGGGCGGCGGCUCCGGGGGCCGGCAGCGCACACGGGUGUGGCGGCGGAUCCGGCGGCCGACAGCGCUGCAGCCAAGGUGGGGGAUGGGUGUGGGGAUCGUGGUGGAGUGCGCAGAUGGGUCCGGGGUGGGUGGAGACAGGGUUUUCUUUUUUUCCUCCACUGGUUUUCGGUUCGGGAGUUCGGGAGGAUCCACUCGCCUCUAUAUAGUGCGCUCCGUGAUCCAAAUAACUAUUUUGACCAGGAUCAGAAUAGUGCUACUAUAUAUAUAUGUGUGUGGAUGUACACCGGUCACACUAGUCAGAAAGACAUGUCCAUUGAAUGGUUAACAAAAAUCAAAGGGUUUUUGAGAGCCGCAUUUGCAAAUGGCCAGAGGACAACAAGGUUCUCCUGUGCCGGGUGCAACAAUUGA